This is a long non-coding RNA of Oncorhynchus keta (chum salmon), 1179 nucleotides long. RefSeq lists it as uncharacterized. The record is from RefSeq and is a predicted model, not a curated record. Lineage: Eukaryota; Metazoa; Chordata; Actinopteri; Salmoniformes; Salmonidae. The transcript has 7 exons.
UCUCUUCAAUGCUUUUCAAUUAGGAAAAUGUGGAAUUGGAAUUUGGUUUACUUCCUGAAUUGAUUGUAACUGAAAUGGAAUUGACCCCCCCCCAACCCUGAAGUGCACUUCAGUAUCAGGAAUGUUCUCUGGUUUAGUGUCAUGGUAAAAAAAACUUAGUGCUCCGGUACUUUGGUGGUUGGGUAUGGCAGUAGGGUAGAGGUCAACAUAGACAGUAGUCUAGUAGGGUAGAGGUCACCAUAGACAGUAGUCUUGGUGGUUGGGUAUGGCAGUAGGGUAGAGGUCACCAUAGACAGUAGUCUAGUAGGGUAGAGGUCAACAUAGACAGUAGUCUAGUAGGGUAUAGGUCAACAUAGACAGUAGUCUAGUAGGGUAGAGGUCAACAUAGACAGUAGUCUAGUAGGGUAGAGGUCAACAUAGACAGUAGUCUAGUAGGGUAGAGGUCAACAUAGACAGUAGUCUAGUAGGGUAGAGGUCAACAUAGACAGUAGUCUAGUAGGGUAGAGGUCAACAUAGACAGUAGUCUAGUAGGGUAGAGGUCAACAUAGACAGUAGUCUAGUAGGGUAGAGGUCAACAUAGACAGUAGUCUUGGUGGUUGGGUAUGACAGUAGGGUAGAGGUCACCAUAGACAGUAGUCUUGGUGGUUGGGUAUGGCAGUAGGGUAGAGGUCAACAUAGACAGUAGUCUAGUAGGGUAGAGGUCACCAUAGACAGUAGUCUUGGUGGUUGGGUAUGGCAGUAGGGUAGAGGUCACCAUAGACAGUAGUCUUGGUGGUUGGGUAUGACAGUAGGGUAGAGGUCACCAUAGACAGUAGUCUUGGUGGUUGCGUAUGACAGUAGGGUAGAGGUCACCAUAGACAGUAGUCUUGGUGUUCGGGGUAUGACAGUAGGGUAGAGGUCAACAUAGACAGUAGUCUUGGUGGUUGGGUAUGACAGUAGGGUAGAGGUCAACAUAGACAGUAGUCUUGGUGGUUGCGUAUGACAGUAGGGUAGAGGUCACCAUAGACAGUAGUCUUGGUGUUCGGGGUAUGACAGUAGGGUAGAGGUCACCAUAGACAGUAGUCUUGGUGGUUGGGUAUGACAGUAGGGUAGAGGUCUGGACUGAGGACUGAGGGUUAAGGGGCUCAGCUGUUAGUAGUAGGGAGGACUGAGGGUUUAGGGGCUCAGCUGUUAGUAGUA